GACGUAGGGCGCAAGCGUUGUCCGGAUUUAUUGGGCGUAAAGAGCUCGUAGGUGGUUUGUCGCGUUGGGCGUGAAAUUCCCUGGCUUAACUGGGGGCGUGCGGGCGAUACGGGCAGACUGGAGUAUUGCAGGGGAGACUGGAAUUCCUGGUGUAGCGGUGGAAUGCGCAGAUAUCAGGAGGAACACCGGUGGCGAAGGCGGUUCUCUGGGCAGUAACUGACGCUGAGGAGCGAAAGCGUGGGGAGCGAACAGG
This 253-nucleotide ribosomal RNA is filed under the name uncultured bacterium. Its description in RNAcentral is "partial 16S ribosomal RNA". It matches the Rfam family "Bacterial small subunit ribosomal RNA", at positions 524 to 776 of the family's 1533-position model. The record is from RNAcentral.